Molecule: ribosomal RNA, 108 nt
Filed under: Propithecus coquereli (Coquerel's sifaka)
Lineage: Eukaryota; Metazoa; Chordata; Mammalia; Primates; Indriidae
Source: RNAcentral
GCCUACAGCCAUACCACCCUGAAAGCACCUGAUCUCAUCUGAUCUUGGAAGCUAAGCAGGAUUGGGCCCGGUUAGUACUUGGAAGGGAGAAAACAGAAAUAUUAGUCC